GAUGAACGCUGGCGGCGUGCUUAACACAUGCAAGUCGAACGGAAAGGCGCUGCUCUUGUGGGGUGCACGAGUGGCGAACGGGGGAGUAAAACGUGUGUAACCUGCACUUGACUUUGGGAUAACUUCAGGAAAAUGGGGCUAAUACCGGAUAGGAGCUCCUGAUGCAUGGUGGGGGUUGGAAAGUUUCGGCGGUUGGGGAUGGACUCGCGGCAUAUCAGCUUGUUGGUGGAGUAGUGGUUGACCAAGGCUUUGACGGGUAGCCGGCCUGAGAGGGUGACCGGCCACAUUGGUCCUGCGGUACGGCCCAGACUCCUACGGGAGGCAGCAGUGGGGAAUAUUGCGCAAUGGGCGCAAGCCUGAGGCAGCAACGCCGCGUUCGUGAUGACGGCCUUCUGGUUGUAAACCGCUUUCGCCGGUGACGAAGCGUUAUUGACGGUAAUGGGUAAAGAAGCACCGGCUAACUACGUG
Molecule: ribosomal RNA, 468 nt
Filed under: uncultured bacterium
Lineage: Bacteria
Description: partial 16S ribosomal RNA
Rfam family: Bacterial small subunit ribosomal RNA
Source: RNAcentral